GCAAGUCGAACGAGAAAGUACCUUCGGGUGCGAGUAGAGUGGCGCACGGGUGAGUAACACGUAGAUAACCUACCCUGAAGUGGGGGAUAACUCGGAGAAAUUCGGGCUAAUACCGCAUAAUAAGGUAACUUUAAAGGAUGCUUCGGCAUGUGCUUUAGGAUGGGUCUGCGGAACAUUAGUUUGAUGGUGGGGUAAUGGCCUACCAUGACUACGAUGUUUAGCUGGUCUGAGAGGAUGAUC
RNAcentral lists this ribosomal RNA (240 nucleotides) under uncultured bacterium. Its description in RNAcentral is "partial 16S ribosomal RNA". It matches the Rfam family "Bacterial small subunit ribosomal RNA", at positions 57 to 305 of the family's 1533-position model. The record is from RNAcentral.